This is a non-coding RNA of Paramuricea clavata, 734 nucleotides long. The record is from the annotation of a GenBank genome assembly. Lineage: Eukaryota; Metazoa; Cnidaria; Anthozoa; Malacalcyonacea; Plexauridae.
GUGCAGUACAGAUAUUUUUUUAUAUAUUGGGUCGUUCCAUAAAAGAUCCAUCCCCCCCCCCCCCACGGAGGAAAUUUUUGCUGUCCGAAGGGGGAGGGAGGAAAAAUGUCUUAGGAUGUCCGAAGGGGGGGAGAGGAAAAAUGUCUUAGGAUGUCCGAAGGGGGGGAGAGGAAUGUGGAUAUGUUUGUCUGAAGGUUUGAGACUGUGAUAAAGCUAUGUGAUCGGCGAUUAUAAUGAGCACGCAAUUUUUAUCGGCUAUAUGUAGCUCUUGAACACCGGAACGUUUAUGUAACAGCAAUAAUUAUACGUCCACGUAACUCGUAAGCAAAAUAAGCGGCCCACUUUUGCAUGCAUGGCCACCAAAAACUAACUCGCUGUAACAGCAUAUCCUGCAUGUUGAGAAUGAGUCGAAAAUUGACACGCUUUAUUUAUAUAGUCUAUAUAGUUUGCAGUUUUCGUUCGUAUAUAUAAGUUUGAAUUAUUCAAGUGUUGAAAAUAAUUAUAGUUAUUAAACUGUUGCUCGAAUUAAGAGACUGCUAUGUGAACUGAACUCAAAACAAUUUGUUUUGGUAUAUAGUCAAUAAGGCUUCCUUGCAAUUUGUGUGUCUAGAAAAUAGAAAUGGCUUUCAUAUUAAGGGCGAGGUUAAGGAAUGCCGUAAUACUAAAAAAUGCAUUAACCUGUAAGUAAACAUAGCAACGCUUGUCAAUCAGUCGCAAAUUACAUCGAAUUUCAG